RNAcentral lists this ribosomal RNA (253 nucleotides) under uncultured bacterium. Its description in RNAcentral is "partial 16S ribosomal RNA". It matches the Rfam family "Bacterial small subunit ribosomal RNA", at positions 524 to 776 of the family's 1533-position model. The record is from RNAcentral.
UACAGAGGUCUCAACCGUUGUUCGGAUUCAUUGGGCGUAAAGGGUGCGUAGGCGGUCGGGUAAGUCGGAUGUGAAAUCUCUGGGCUCAACUCAGGGGCUGCUUCCGAAACUGCCGUGCUAGAGUGUGGGAGAGGCGCGUGGAAUUGCAGGUGUAGCGGUGAAAUGCGUAGAUAUCUGCAGGAACACCCGUGGCGAAAGCGGCGCGCUGGACCACUACUGACGCUGAGGAACGAAAGCUAGGGGAGCAAACAGG